CUUUACUAUAGCUUCGCCUUGGCGUUAGCAGCACUAUGUGUAGGAUAGGUGGGAGGCUAUGAAACCUGGGCGCCAGCUCGGGUGGAGCCAACCUUGAAAUACCACCCUUAUUGCUGUUGACGUCUAACCGACGACCGUUAUCCGGUCGCGGAACAUGGCGUGGCGGGUAGUUUGACUGGGGCGGUCGCCUCCCAAAGUGUAACGGAGGCGCGCGAUGGUGGGCUCAGAACGGUCGGAAAUCGUUCGACGAGUGCAAUGGCAUAAGCCCGCCUGACUGCGAGACUGACAAGUCGAGCAGAGACGAAAGUCGGCCAUAGUGAUCCGGUGGUUCUGCGUGGAAGGGCCAUCGCUCAACGGAUAAAAGGUA
This 367-nucleotide ribosomal RNA is filed under the name uncultured organism. RNAcentral describes it as "bacterial LSU rRNA". It matches the Rfam family "Bacterial large subunit ribosomal RNA", at positions 2099 to 2465 of the family's 2925-position model. The record is from RNAcentral.